This 429-nucleotide ribosomal RNA is filed under the name Chloroflexota bacterium. RNAcentral's name for it is "Chloroflexi bacterium partial 16S ribosomal RNA". It matches the Rfam family "Bacterial small subunit ribosomal RNA", at positions 355 to 776 of the family's 1533-position model. The record is from RNAcentral. Lineage: Bacteria; Bacillati; Chloroflexota.
UGGGGAAUAUUGCACAAUGGGCGCAAGCCUGAUGCAGCCAUGCCGCGUGUAUGAAGAAGGCCUUCGGGUUGUAAAGUACUUUCAGCGGGGAGGAAGGGAGUAAAGUUAAUACCUUUGCUCAUUGACGUUACCCGCAGAAGAAGCACCGGCUAACUACGUGCCAGCAGCCGCGGUAAUACGUAGGUGGCAAGCGUUGUCCGGAUUUAUUGGGCGUAAAGCGAGCGCAGGCGGUUUCUUAAGUCUGAUGUGAAAGCCCCCGGCUCAACCGGGGAGGGUCAUUGGAAACUGGGAGACUUGAGUGCAGAAGAGGGGAGUGGAAUUCCAUGUGUAGCGGUGAAAUGCGUAGAUAUAUGGAGGAAAACCAGUGGCGAAGGCGGCUCUCUGGUCUGUAACUGACGCUGAGGCUCGAAAGCGUGGGGAGCAAACAGG